RNAcentral lists this ribosomal RNA (497 nucleotides) under uncultured bacterium. Its description in RNAcentral is "partial 16S ribosomal RNA". It matches the Rfam family "Bacterial small subunit ribosomal RNA", at positions 28 to 507 of the family's 1533-position model. The record is from RNAcentral.
GAUGAACGCUGGCGGCGUGCCUAAUACAUGCAAGUCGGGCGAACAGAUAAGGAGCUUCCUCCUUUGACGUUAGCAACGCACGGGUGAGUAACACUUGUGUAACCGACCGAUAAGACUAGGAUAACUUAGUACAACCUAAGCUGAUCCCGUAUAAUAGUUCGACCCACAUGGUUCGAUAGUCUAGGAUGGUUUUGCUAUCUCUUAUAUAUGUGCCCCCGCCGUAUUAGCUAAUUGGUAAGGUAACGACUUACCAAGGCGACGAUACGUAGCCGACCUGAGAGGGUGAGCGGCCACACUGGAACUGAGACACGGACAAAACUCCUAGGGGAGGCAGCAGUAGGGAAGCUUCGGAAAUGGCGGAAAGCCUGACGGAGCAACGCAGCGUGAGUGAUGAAGGUCUUAGGAUCGUAAAACUGUGUUAUUAGGGAAGAACAUACGUGUAAGUAACUGUGCACGUCUUGACGGUACCUAAUCAGAAAGCAACGGCUAACUACGUG